AUCUACGGUCAUGCUACCCUGAACAAGCCCAAUCCCACCUGAUCUCGAAAGGUAAGCAGGGUCAGAGCCUGGUUUGUACUUGCAUGGGAGACCAUCUAGGAAGACCAGGUGCUGUAGGCA
Molecule: ribosomal RNA, 120 nt
Filed under: Pteropus vampyrus (large flying fox)
Lineage: Eukaryota; Metazoa; Chordata; Mammalia; Chiroptera; Pteropodidae
Source: RNAcentral